This 381-nucleotide ribosomal RNA is filed under the name uncultured bacterium. RNAcentral describes it as "bacterial SSU rRNA". It matches the Rfam family "Bacterial small subunit ribosomal RNA", at positions 29 to 410 of the family's 1533-position model. The record is from RNAcentral.
AUUGAACGCUGGCGGCAUGCCUUACACAUGCAAGUCGAACGGUAACGCGGGGCAACCUGGCGACGAGUGGCGAACGGGUGAGUAAUGCAUCAGAACGUGCCCAGUAGUGGGGGGAUAGCCCGGCGAAAGCCGGAUUAAUACCGCAUACGACCUACGGGUGAAAGCGGGGGACUCGCAAGAGCCUCGCGCUAUUGGAGCGGCCGAUGUCAGAUUAGGUAGUUGGUGGGGUAAAAGCCUACCAAGCCGACGAUCUGUAGCUGGUCUGAGAGGACGACCAGCCACACUGGGACUGAGACACGGCCCAGACUCCUACGGGAGGCAGCAGUGGGGAAUUUUGGACAAUGGGCGCAAGCCUGAUCCAGCCAUGCCGCGUGCGGGAAG